Molecule: long non-coding RNA, 225 nt
Filed under: Homo sapiens (human)
Lineage: Eukaryota; Metazoa; Chordata; Mammalia; Primates; Hominidae
Description: HSALNT0020604
Source: RNAcentral
GUUUCAUUCAUUUUCUCAACUUUUCCUGAGGAUCGUGGCCUCCAGUCAUAGUGUAAGUGAUAUUGUAUGCCUAACACCUGGGAUACUCCCUGGGUUACUGUAGCCUUGAAAGCAGGGCCAUUGUCACUCUGUAAGCCUCGGGGAAGUCUGAAUCUGGGAAUUAUUUCAUGAACUAGUGCCUUCAUUACCUCUUGAGUCUUUUCUGUUCUACAAGGAAAAGCGUCC